Molecule: ribosomal RNA, 459 nt
Filed under: uncultured bacterium
Lineage: Bacteria
Description: partial 16S ribosomal RNA
Rfam family: Bacterial small subunit ribosomal RNA
Source: RNAcentral
CCUACGUGAGGCAGCAGUGAGGAAUAUUGGUCAAUGGGCGGGAGCCUGAACCAGCCAAGCCGCGUGAGGGAAGAAGGUACAGCGUAUCGUAAACCGCUUUUGUCAGGGAACAAAGGCGGGCACUAGUCCCCGGAUGAGGGUACCGGAUGAAAAAGCAUCGGCUAAUUCCGUGCCAGCAGCCGCGGUAAUACGGAGGAUGCGGGCGUUAUCCGGAUUUAUUGGGUUUAAAGGGUGCGAAGGCGGCCUGUUAAGUGUGCGGUAAAAGCCCGUGGCUCAACCCCGGCGAGCCGUUGAAACUGGCGGGCUGGAGUUGGAGAGACGUACGCGGAAUGCGCGGUGUAGCGGUGAAAUGCUUAGAUAUCGCGCAGAACCCCGAUUGCGAAGGCAGCGUACCGGCUCCACACUGACGCUGAGGCACGAAGGCGUGGGUAUCGAACAGGAUUAGAUACCCGGGUAGUC